AUUGAACGCUGGCGGCAGGCCUAACACAUGCAAGUCGAACGGUAACAGGAAACAGCUUGCUGUUUCGCUGACGAGUGGCGGACGGGUGAGUAAUGUCUGGGAAACUGCCUGAUGGAGGGGGAUAACUACUGGAAACGGUAGCUAAUACCGCAUAACGUCGCAAGACCAAAGAGGGGGACCUUCGGGCCUCUUGCCAUCGGAUGUGCCCAGAUGGGAUUAGCUAGUAGGUGGGGUAACGGCUCACCUAGGCGACGAUCCCUAGCUGGUCUGAGAGGAUGACCAGCCACACUGGCACUGAGACACGGUCCGGACUCCUACGGGAGGCAGCAGUGGGGAAUAUUGCACAAUGGGCGCAAGCCUGAUGCAGCCAUGCCGCGUGUAUGAAGAAGGCCUUCGGGUUGUAAAGUACCUUCAGCGGGGAGGAAGGGAGUAAAGUCAAUACCUUUGCUCAUUGACGUUACCCGCAGAAGAAGCACCGGCUAACUCCGUGCCAGCAGCCGCAGUAA
RNAcentral lists this ribosomal RNA (506 nucleotides) under uncultured bacterium. RNAcentral describes it as "partial 16S ribosomal RNA". It matches the Rfam family "Bacterial small subunit ribosomal RNA", at positions 30 to 523 of the family's 1533-position model. The record is from RNAcentral.